RNAcentral lists this ribosomal RNA (544 nucleotides) under Cassiopea xamachana. RNAcentral's name for it is "partial large subunit ribosomal RNA". It matches the Rfam family "Bacterial large subunit ribosomal RNA", at positions 1866 to 2574 of the family's 2925-position model. The record is from RNAcentral. Lineage: Eukaryota; Metazoa; Cnidaria; Scyphozoa; Rhizostomeae; Cassiopeidae.
AUGACUACAAAUAAACAAUAAUAGUAGUUAAAUAGCCGCGGUAACUCUGACCGUGAUAAAGUAGCAUAAUCACUCGUCAUUUAAUUGGUGACUAGAAUGAAUGGUUUUACGAAUUUCCAACUGUCUCAGUAAUAAAAUUAAUGAAAUUAAACCAAUAGUGAAGAUGCUAUUUAUAAAUUGUAAGACGAAAAGACCCUAUCGAGCUUUACUAAACGCUUAAAUAAAUAAAUACUACAAAAUAUUUUAGGACAAAAAUAUUUAAGCUAAUUAGUUUGGUUGGGGCGACCACCUCUAAAAAAGUAUCAGAGGAGAUCUAACGGUUAAUAUUAAUAUAAAAAAGCCUAACUGCAUAUAAAUACAUUAAUCAGUUACAACAAGUAGGAUAUAAUGACCCGUUGGGACUAUCUAAACACCUAACGAUUACAAAAAAAGUUACCGUAGGGAUAACAGGGUAAUAUUCUCGAAGAGUUCUUAUCGAUGAGAAUGUUUGCCACCUCGAUGUUGAAUUAUGAUAUCCUAAAGGUGCAAAAGCUUUUAAGGGUUG